CCCUUAGAUGUCCUGGGCUGCACGCGCGCUACACUGAUGUGUCCAGUAAGCACCUAACCUCUUCCGAAGGGAACGGGUAACCUUAGCAAAGCACAUCGUGAUGGGGAUAGAUUAUUGCAAUUAUUAGUCUUGAACGAGGAAUUCCUAGUAAGCACAAGUCAUCAGCUUGUGUUGAUUACGUCCCUGCCCUUUGUACACACCGCCCGUCGCUCCUACCGAUUGAAUGUUCCGGUGAAUACUUCGGACUGCGAGGUCUGCAGUUUCUGCGUUCCUUGCGGAAAGUUGAAUAAACCUUAACAUUUAGAGGAAGGAGAANUCGUANCA
Molecule: ribosomal RNA, 324 nt
Filed under: uncultured eukaryote
Lineage: Eukaryota
Description: partial 18S ribosomal RNA
Rfam family: Eukaryotic small subunit ribosomal RNA
Source: RNAcentral